AAUAGAUACCCCGGUAGUCCACGCCGUAAACGAUGAAUACUAGGUGUAGGGGUUGUCAUGACCUCUGUGCCGCCGCUAACGCAUUAAGUAUUCCGCCUGGGGAGUACGGUCGCAAGAUUAAAACUCAAAGGAAUUGACGGGGGCCCGGCACAAGCAGCGGAGCAUGUGGUUUAAUUCGAAGCAACGCGAAGAACCUUACCUAGACUUGACAUCUCCUGCAUUACCCUUAAUCGGGAAAGUUCCUUCGGGGACAGGAAGACAGGUGGUGCAUGGUUGUCGUCAGCUCGUGUCGUGAGAUGUUGGGUUAAGUCCCGCAACGAGCGCAACCCGUUAUUGUUAGUUGCUACCAUUUAGUUGAGCACUCUAGCGAGACUGCCCGGGUUAACCGGGAGGAAGGUGGGGAUGACGUCAAAUCAUCAUGCCCCUUAUGUCUAGGGCUACACACGUGCUACAAUGGCAAGUACAAAGAGACGCAAUACCGUGAGGUGGAGCAAAACUCAAAAACUUGUCUCAGUUCGGAUUGUAGGCUGAAACUCGCCUACA
Molecule: ribosomal RNA, 543 nt
Filed under: uncultured bacterium
Lineage: Bacteria
Description: bacterial SSU rRNA
Rfam family: Bacterial small subunit ribosomal RNA
Source: RNAcentral